RNAcentral lists this transfer RNA (73 nucleotides) under Dipodomys ordii (Ord's kangaroo rat). It matches the Rfam family "tRNA". From Rfam's summary of the family: Transfer RNA (tRNA) molecules are approximately 80 nucleotides in length. Their secondary structure includes four short double-helical elements and three loops (D, anti-codon, and T loops). The record is from Rfam by way of RNAcentral. Lineage: Eukaryota; Metazoa; Chordata; Mammalia; Rodentia; Heteromyidae.
GAAGGUAUGGCUCACGUGUUAGAGCACCUGCCUAGCAAGCAUGAGGCCCUGAGUUCAGACCUCACUGCCAUCA